AGCGAACGCUGGCGGCAGGCCUAACACAUGCAAGUCGAACGAACCUUUCGGGGUUAGUGGCGGACGGGUGAGUAACACGUGGGAACGUGCCUUUAGGUUCGGAAUAACUCAGGGAAACUUGUGCUAAUACCGAAUGUGCCCUUCGGGGGAAAGAUCUAUCGCCUUUAGAGCGGCCCGCGUCUGAUUAGCUAGUUGGUUGAGGUAAUGGCUCACCAAGGCGACGAUCAGUAGCUGGUCUGAGAGGAUGAUCAGCCACAUUGGGACUGAGACACGGCCCAAACUCCUACGGGAGGCAGCAGUGGGGAAUCUUGCGCAAUGUGCGAAAGCCUGACGCAGCCAUGCCGCGUGAAUGAUGAAGGUCUUAGGAUUGUAAAAUUCUUUCACCGGGGACGAUAAUGACGGUACCCGGAGAAGAAGCCCCGGCUAACUUCGUG
Molecule: ribosomal RNA, 434 nt
Filed under: uncultured bacterium
Lineage: Bacteria
Description: partial 16S ribosomal RNA
Rfam family: Bacterial small subunit ribosomal RNA
Source: RNAcentral